Molecule: ribosomal RNA, 253 nt
Filed under: uncultured bacterium
Lineage: Bacteria
Description: partial 16S ribosomal RNA
Rfam family: Bacterial small subunit ribosomal RNA
Source: RNAcentral
GACAGAGGGUGCAAACGUUGUUCGGAAUUACUGGGCGUAAAGCGCGUGUAGGCUGCUCUGCAAGUCGGAUGUGAAAGCCCUGGGCUCAACAUAGGAAGUGCACUCGAAACUGCGGAGCUUGAGUCUCGGAGAGGAUCGCGGAAUUCUCGGUGUAGAGGUGAAAUUCGUAGAUAUCGAGAGGAACACCGGUGGCGAAGGCGGCGAUCUGGACGAUGACUGACGCUGAGACGCGAAAGCGUGGGGAGCAAACAGG